Molecule: ribosomal RNA, 392 nt
Filed under: uncultured bacterium
Lineage: Bacteria
Description: partial 16S ribosomal RNA
Rfam family: Bacterial small subunit ribosomal RNA
Source: RNAcentral
AUACGUAGGGGGCGAGCGUUGUCCGGAUUUACUGGGCGUAAAGGGUGAGUAGGCGGUUAUAUGUGUCAGAUGUAAAAGGCUAUGGCUUAACCAUAGUUAGCAUUUGAAACUGUAUGACUUGAGUGCCGGAGAGGUAAGUGGAAUUCCUAGUGUAGCGGUGAAAUGCGUAGAUAUUAGGAGGAACACCAGUGGCGAAGGCGACUUACUGGACUGUAACUGACGCUGAGUCACGAAAGCGUGGGUAGCAAACAGGAUUAGAUACCCUGGUAGUCCACGCUGUAAACGAUGAGUGCUAGGUGUUGGCCAGCGAUGGUCAGUGCCGCAGUAAACACAUUAAGCACUCCGCCUGGGGAGUACGGUCGCAAGACUGAAACUCAAAUGAAUUGACGGGG